AACUGCGAACGCCUCAUUAUAUCAGUUAUAGUUUAUUUGAUAGUCCCUUACUACUUGGAUACCCGUAGUAAUUCUAGAGCUAAUACGUGCGCACAUCCCGACUUCUGGAAGGGACGUAUUUAUUAGAUAAAAGGCCGACCGGAUUUUUCCGACUCGCGGUGACUCAUGAUAACUUCACGAAUCGCAUGGCCUCGGGCCGGCGAUGUUUCAUUCAAAUUUCUGCCCUAUCAACUUUUGAUGGUAGGAUAGAGGCCUACCAUGGUGGUAACGGGUGACGGAGAAUUAGGGUUCGAUUCCGGAGAGGGAGCCUGAGAGAUAGCUACCACUUCUACGGAGGGCAGCAGGCGCGUAAAUUGCCCAAUGCCAAAUCGGCGAGGCAGCGA
RNAcentral lists this ribosomal RNA (383 nucleotides) under Gambierdiscus australes. RNAcentral describes it as "partial Eukaryotic small subunit ribosomal RNA". It matches the Rfam family "Eukaryotic small subunit ribosomal RNA", at positions 85 to 470 of the family's 1831-position model. Lineage: Eukaryota; Dinophyceae; Gonyaulacales; Pyrocystaceae. The record is from RNAcentral.